AUUGAACGCUGGCGGCAGGCCUAACACAUGCAAGUCGAGCGAGCGGCGGACGGGUGCGUAAUGCCUGGGAAUUGCCCAGUCGAGGGGGCUAACAGUUGGAAACGACUGCUAAUACCGCAUACGAUCGGAUUGCCGAGGUGGGAUUAGCUAGUUGGAGAGGUAAAGGCGCACCAAGCCGACGAUCCCUCGCUGGUCUGAGAGGAUGAUCAGCCACACUGGAACUGAGACACGGUACAGACUCCGACGGGAGGCAGCAGUGGGGAAUAUGGCACAAUGGGUGAAAACCUGAUGCAGCCAUGCCGCGUGUGUGAAGAAGGCCUUCGGGUUGUAAAGCACUUUCAGCGAGGAGGCGUUACUCGCAGAAGAAGCACCGGCUAACUCCGUGCCAGCAGCCGCGGUAAUAC
RNAcentral lists this ribosomal RNA (404 nucleotides) under uncultured bacterium. Its description in RNAcentral is "partial 16S ribosomal RNA". It matches the Rfam family "Bacterial small subunit ribosomal RNA", at positions 30 to 526 of the family's 1533-position model. The record is from RNAcentral.